Molecule: ribosomal RNA, 1242 nt
Filed under: metagenome
Description: bacterial LSU rRNA
Rfam family: Bacterial large subunit ribosomal RNA
Source: RNAcentral
UGAGUACAAGAUGCUACUGCAUUGAAGCAGUCUAUGUCAUACUUCCAAGAAAAGCUUGCAAUGUCAUAAACAAAUAAUGCCUGUACCAUAACCGACACAGGUGGGUAGGUAGAGUAUACUAAGGGGCGCGAGAUAACUCUCUCUAAGGAACUCGGCAAAAUGACUCCGUAACUUCGGGAGAAGGAGUACCUUAUUUUAUAAGGUUGCAAUAACAAGGUCCAAGCAACUGUUUACCAAAAACACAGGUCUCCGCUAAGUCGUAAGACGAUGUAUGGGGGCUGACGCCUGCCCAGUGCCAGAAGGUUAAAGAAGUUGGUUAGCAUUAGCGAAGCUGAUAACUGAAGCCCUGGUGAACGGCGGCCGUAACGAUAACGGUCCUAAGGUAGCGAAAUUCCUUGUCGGGUAAGUUCCGACCCGCACGAAAGGCGUAAUGAUUUGGAUACUGUCUCGGAGAGGGGCUCGGUGAAAUAGACUUGUCUGUGAAGAUGCGGACUACCUGCACCUGGACAGAAAGACCCUAUGAAGCUUUACUGUAACUUGAGAUUGAAAUUGGACUUUAUUUGCGCAGUAUAGGUGGGAGACCUCGAAAGUAUUCUUGCGGGAAUAUUGGAGUCAUCAGUGAGAUACCACUCUUAUAAUGUUAGAUUUCUAACUUUGUAUCAUUAUCUGGUCAAAGAACAGUUUCAGGCGGGCAGUCUGACUGGGGCGGUCGCCUCCCAAAUGGUAACGGAGGCGCACAAAGGUUUCCUCUGAACGUGUAGAAAUCGUAUCUAGAGUGUAAAGGCAUAAGGAAGCUUGACUGUGAGACCUACAAGUCGAGCAGGGACGAAAGUCGGUCUUAGUGAUCUGACGGUGCUGAGUGGAAAGGCCGUCACUCAACGGAUAAAAGUUACUCUAAGGAUAACAGGCUGAUCUCCCCCAAGAGUUCACAUCGACGGGGAGGUUUGGCACCUCGAUGUCGGCUCAUCGCAUCCUGGGGCGGUAGUACGUCCCAAGGGUUGGGCUGUUCGCCCAUGAAAGCGGUACGCGAGCUGGGUUCAGAACGUCGUGAGACAGUUCGGUCCAUAUCCGGUGUAGGCGUUAGAAUAUUGAGAGGAGCCUUCUUUAGUACGAGAGGACCGAGAAGGACAUACCUCUGGUGUACCAGUUAUCGUGCCAACGGUAAACGCUGGGUAGCUAUGUAUGGAGAGGAUAACCGCUGAAAGCAUCUAAGUGGGAAGCCCACCUCAAGAUAAGUAUUCC